GCGGAAGUGUCGGAACUCGCAGACGAGCAAGACUAAGGAUCUUGUAAGCAUUGCGCUUGUGUGGGUUCAAGUCCCAUCUUCCGCA
This 85-nucleotide transfer RNA is filed under the name Dorea formicigenerans. Its description in RNAcentral is "tRNA-Leu". It matches the Rfam family "tRNA". Rfam says of the family: Transfer RNA (tRNA) molecules are approximately 80 nucleotides in length. Their secondary structure includes four short double-helical elements and three loops (D, anti-codon, and T loops). Lineage: Bacteria; Bacillati; Bacillota; Clostridia; Lachnospirales; Lachnospiraceae. The record is from RNAcentral.